This 82-nucleotide transfer RNA is filed under the name Actinomycetes bacterium. Its description in RNAcentral is "Actinobacteria bacterium tRNA-Leu". It matches the Rfam family "tRNA". Rfam says of the family: Transfer RNA (tRNA) molecules are approximately 80 nucleotides in length. The record is from RNAcentral. Lineage: Bacteria; Bacillati; Actinomycetota; Actinomycetes.
GCCCGGGUGGUGGAAUGGUAGACACGGAGGACUCAAAAUCCUCUGCCCCCAAGGCGUGCGGGUUCGAGUCCCGCCCCGGGUA